Molecule: ribosomal RNA, 253 nt
Filed under: uncultured bacterium
Lineage: Bacteria
Description: partial 16S ribosomal RNA
Rfam family: Bacterial small subunit ribosomal RNA
Source: RNAcentral
UACGUAGGAGACGAGCGUUGUCCGGAAUCACUGGGCGUAAAGCGCGUGUAGGCGGGGCCUCGCGUCUGGUGUGAAAACUCCUGGCUUAACCGGGAGAGGUCGGUGGAAACUGCGAACCUGGAGGACGGUAGAGGCUGGUGGAAUUCCCGGUGUAGUGGUGAAAUGCGUAGAGAUCGGGAGGAACACCGGUGGCGAAGGCGGGUCUCUGGGCCGAUACUGACGCUGAGGAGCGAAAGCGUGGGGAGCGAACAGG